This is a long non-coding RNA of Chenopodium quinoa (quinoa), 768 nucleotides long. RefSeq lists it as uncharacterized. The record is from RefSeq and is a predicted model, not a curated record. Lineage: Eukaryota; Viridiplantae; Streptophyta; Magnoliopsida; Caryophyllales; Amaranthaceae. The transcript has 4 exons.
UUAUUUUUUUCGAUAAAAUUUUCAGUAGGCGCUGUUUAUUAAAAAUUGAUGAAAAUUUUCGCUGUUAUUUUCUUGAUAAAAUUUUCGGUAGCCGCUGGUUUCCCUCAUUUUCCCACUGUUCUAAAAUUCCCCAAAUUAAACCCUAAUUUUUCGUUUCUCUAUCCUCACUUAACUGACAUCUCAAACUACAAUCAAUUGGUGAAUUUCGUUGAUUGUUUCAAAGACUCCGCAAAAAGGGGCUGAUCAUUCAACAUUUUAAGGAUUAUUUCUGCUAUCUUCAAGAUCGACAUAGAGUUUGAAAUUGAAAUGGGUUAAUGUCAAAAUUGCGGUUUCUGCUUGAACCUCUCAAGUUUGUUACUGAUGAUGGGACCCCAUGGAGGAGAAAUCUGCUGUUGUUAGAUUGAGUGACAAAAUUAACAAGUCAAAACGCAAUAAGUUGUGGAGGAAAAGGAAGAGACGUCGUGUUGCUGAAUCACUUGCUAAGGAGGAGGAGCAAUUCAAGAAACUUGACCGAGAAGCUGAUGAAUGGAGGGCUAAAGAAAUUGCCAAGGAUAUGGCAGAACAAAAGGAUACUAUAUAUAUCCAAGUAUGAAGUGCUACAUCAAACAUCUAAAGAUUUAUUGGACUUUGAGCAAAAAUAUUAGAUUGGUUUUGAAUUUGGUUUUGGAAUUUUUAUUAGUUUAAUAUAUGAAAUAUUUAGAUUGAAUUUGUUUUUGUUGCUUGUAAUAAAUAUUUAGCUUAUCAAUUACAAUGGAUUUGAAUUAACUA